AUAGAGGCCUACCAUGGUGGUAACGGGUAACGGGGUGUUAGGGCACGACACCGGAGAGGGAGCCUGAGAAACGGCUACCACAUCCAAGGAUGGCAGCAGGCGCGCAAAUUACCCAAUCCCGACACGGGGAGGUAGUGACAAUAAAUAACAAUACGGGGUUCUUUCGGAUCUCGUAAUUGGAAUGAGUACAAUUUAAAUCUCUUAACGAGGAACAAUUGGAGGGCAAGUCUGGUGCCAGCAGCCGCGGUAAUUCCAGCUCCAAUAGCGUAUAUUAAGUUGUUGCAGUUAAAAAGCUCGUAGUUGAAUUUCGGGGUUAGUAGGUUGGUCAUGCCUCUGGUAUGUACUGGUCUCACUGAUUCCUCCUUCCUUAUGAACCGUAAUGCCAUUAAUUUGGUGUUGCGGGGAAUUUGGACUGUUACUUUGAAAAAAUUAGAGUGUUUAAAGCAAGCUAACGCUUGAAUACAUUAGCAUGGAAUAAUGAAAUAGGACGUUCGAUCUUAUUUUGUUGGUUUCUAGGAUUGACGUAAUGAUUAAUAGGGAUAGUUGGGGGCAUUAGUAUUCAAUUGUCAGAGGUGAAAUUCUUGGAUUUAUUGAAGACUAACUACUGCGAAAGCAUUUGCCAAGGAUGUUUUCAUUAAUCAAGAACGAAAGUUAGGGGAUCGAAGACGAUCAGAUACCGUCGUAGUCUUAACCAUAAACUAUGCCGACUAGG
RNAcentral lists this ribosomal RNA (712 nucleotides) under uncultured fungus. RNAcentral's name for it is "SSU rRNA". It matches the Rfam family "Eukaryotic small subunit ribosomal RNA", at positions 333 to 1050 of the family's 1831-position model. Lineage: Eukaryota; Fungi. The record is from RNAcentral.